This 500-nucleotide ribosomal RNA is filed under the name uncultured eukaryote. RNAcentral describes it as "SSU rRNA". The stretch from base 21 to 434 matches the Rfam family "Eukaryotic small subunit ribosomal RNA", at positions 52 to 430 of the family's 1831-position model. The record is from RNAcentral.
ACGUGCCGCCAAAACGCCAUUGCAGGUUUAAGUUUAAACAACUUCUGUACUUGUGAAACUUGCGAAGAGCUUAUUAUAUUCAGUUAUAGUCCUACUCCGAUAGUACCUUACUACUUGGGAUAACCGUAGUAAUCCCUAGAGCUAAUACAUGGCGUAAAUACCCAACUGGCUUGGUCGGACGGGUAGCAUUUAUUAGAUUCGAAACCAAUGGCAGCUUCGGCCGGUAUUCGUGUUGAGUCAUAAUAACUCGUGCGGAUUCGCUUUUUGAGCGAUAAAUCGAUUGAGUUUCUGCCCUAUCAGCUUUCGGAUUGGUAGGAUAUGGGCCUACCAUGGGCGUUUAACGGGUAACGGGGAAAUUAGGGGGUUUUGGAUUUCCGGGAAGAGGGGGAGCCCUUUAGAAAACGGCUACCCACAUUCCAAGAGAAAGAGCAGCAGAGCGCCGUAAAUUCACCCCAAUUUCCUCGACACAGGGAGAGUAGUAGACAAAUAAAUAACAAUAG